Tulasnella sp. 424 is the source of this 89-nucleotide non-coding RNA. NCBI's taxonomy places the organism in Eukaryota, Fungi, Basidiomycota, Agaricomycetes, Cantharellales, Tulasnellaceae. The record is from the annotation of a GenBank genome assembly.
GCCGUCAUAGCUCAGCUGGGAGAGCGACAGACUGAAGCUUACGUAAGCUUGACAUCUGCAGGUCGCCUGUUCAAGCCAGGCUGACGGCA